AACAGUUAAAUAGAAUAAAAGGUCUGAGAGCUUUUCAAGGCCUGCAGAGCAUUUGAAUAAAACAUUUCUGCACCAACUUUCAUUCUGUUCCAGCUCUGCAUUAUCAGAACAAAAAUGCUAAUUCCGAGAAGAAAGACACGGGUCUCUGAUUUCUCGGUCUUGAAAGGUGCACCAUUGCUGAAACUCUGCACAAGGGCUUUGUUUCGAUUUUGUUCUCGGGAACAAUGUACCUGGCUCUGAAUUGACAUUCUAGAAAACACAAGCUUGUUCACAGCUUGGGACCCUAGGUGUCAUG
Molecule: long non-coding RNA, 295 nt
Filed under: Bos taurus (domestic cattle)
Lineage: Eukaryota; Metazoa; Chordata; Mammalia; Artiodactyla; Bovidae
Description: long non-coding RNA NONBTAT001533
Source: RNAcentral